Molecule: small nucleolar RNA, 107 nt
Organism: Dioscorea cayenensis subsp. rotundata (Guinea yam)
Lineage: Eukaryota; Viridiplantae; Streptophyta; Magnoliopsida; Dioscoreales; Dioscoreaceae
Source: RefSeq, a predicted model, not a curated record
AAUCCAUGUUGUGGGCACUUCCGCAAAAGAUCCUUGAAUCAUUCCCAUGUCUCAAACAAGGACUCGAGCUCCAUCUGAACAAAUGACAAUAUCUCAUUGCGAAGCUU